UUCUAAUUGGCUCAUUCAUCCCAAGAAUCAACAUGUGUUCACCCUUAUGCCGUUUUUAAUUAAGAGACUAAAUACAAAAAGUUAAUCCUGGAUACCAAUGUUCUAGAUUAAUGUAUUGAGGUAAACAGGUCAGAGAUGGUGGAACCCAGUGUUCUAGUAUUAAUGUAUUGAGGUAAACAGGUCAGAGAUGGUGGAACCCAGUGUUCUAGUAUUAAUGUAUUGAGGUAAACAGGUCAGAGAUGGUGGAACCCAGUGUUCUAGUAUUAAUGUAUUGAGGUUAACAGGUCAGAGAUGUCAAGGUGGAACCCAGUGUUCUAGUAUUAAUGUAUUGAGGUAAACAGGUCAGAGAUGGUGGAACCCAGUGUUCUAGUAUUAAUGUAUUGAGGUAAACAGGUCAGAGAUGGUGGAACCCAGUGUUCUAGUAUUAAUGUAUUGAGGUAAACAGGUCAGAGAUGGUGGAACCCAGUGUUCUAGUAUUAAUGUAUUGAGGUAAACAGGUCAGAGAUGGUGGAACCCAGUGUUCUAGUAUUAAUGUAUUGAGGUAAACAGGUCAGAGAUGGUGGAACCCAGUGUUCUAGUAUUAAUGUAUUGAGGUAAACAGGUCAGAGAUGGUGGAACCCAGUGUUCUAGUAUUAAUGUAUUGAGGUAAACAGGUCAGAGAUGGUGGAACCCAGUGUUCUAGUAUUAAUGUAUUGAGGUAAACAGGUCAGAGAUGGUGGAACCCAGUGUUCUAGUAUUAAUGUAUUGAGGUAAACAGGUCAGAGAUGGUGGAACCCAGUGUUCUAGUAUUAAUGUAUUGAGGUAAACAGGUCAGAGAUGGUGGAACCCAGUGUUCUAGUAUUAAUGUAUUGAGGUAAACAGGUCAGAGAUGGUGGAACCCAGUGUUCUAGUAUUAAUGUAUUGAGGUAAACAGGUCAGAGAUGGUGGAACCCAGUGUUCUAG
Molecule: long non-coding RNA, 942 nt
Organism: Oncorhynchus keta (chum salmon)
Lineage: Eukaryota; Metazoa; Chordata; Actinopteri; Salmoniformes; Salmonidae
Exons: 4
Source: RefSeq, a predicted model, not a curated record